This 480-nucleotide ribosomal RNA is filed under the name uncultured bacterium. Its description in RNAcentral is "bacterial SSU rRNA". It matches the Rfam family "Bacterial small subunit ribosomal RNA", at positions 32 to 507 of the family's 1533-position model. The record is from RNAcentral.
GACGACGCUGGCGGCGUGCCUAACACAUGCAAGUCGAGCGAAGAAUACAUAAAGAAAUCUUCGGAUGGAAUUAUGUAUUUCUUAGCGGCGGACGGGUGAGUAACGCGUGAGGAACCUGCCUUGUACUAGGGGAUAGCCUCGGGAAACCGGGAUUAAUACCCUAUGAUACUUGAAAGUCGCAUGACUUUCAAGUCAAAGCGAUUUAGCGGUACAAGAUGGCCUCGCGUCCCAUUAGCUAGUUGGCGAGGUAAUAGCUCACCAAGGCGACGAUGGGUAGCCGGCCUGAGAGGGUGAACGGCCACACUGGAACUGAGACACGGUCCAGACUCCUACGGGAGGCAGCAGUGGGGAAUAUUGCACAAUGGAGGAAACUCUGAUGCAGCGACGCCGCGUGAGCGAUGAAGGUUUUCGAAUCGUAAAGCUCUGUCCUAAGGGACGAUAAUGACGGUACCUUAGGAGGAAGCCCCGGCUAACUACGUG